UUUAUUUUGCUGAGUCAGAUGAAGUGCGUGGUCACACGCUUUUAAAAGCGGGUGAAUACACUAGGUUUGAUUUUUAAAAAAAAAUACUAAAAUCAAAAAAAAAAAUUAUCUUUGACGGCUCCCAAGAAGAGUUUUACGCUUGGUAAUCCGGUGACUGUUGCUUCAUGGAAAACAAUAAUUAUCGUCAUGGAAAACAAGAGGCCUCAAAGGCUCAUUACGUCACCCAUUAGUGAUUCUCAUGGGAGAUAAUCAAUCAACUUAUCUCCAUACAAACCAAAAUGAAAUUUUUCUCACUCUCCAGAUCUGCACAAAGAACAAAUAUGUGAACUAUUGUCAAAGUAAUACAGAAAUAUCAGAAUUAGAAGAGCAAAUAUUCAAGCGAAAUCAAAUUCCGGCCAAAUUUUUUGCCAAGAUUUGGUAGUUCGCCUAAGUUUAUUUAGGGUCUAAUAACAUAAAAGAAAGAGAGGAAUUCGCCGGCCAGUGUUGUGGUGGAACGAAGGUCCCGAAAAGUUAUAUUUCCGAUCAGAUCUAAUUUAUUCGGCUAGGUCCAGCCCUGUAAAAAACUAACAAACAGUUAGAGAAAAUAAAACAGGGGAGAAGGGAAGAUGAAGAAGAGAAACGACAGAGAUAAGGAGUGAAACAACAAUCACCGGAUUCUGAGGUGGGGGUGAGUUUAUCUGCGUUCGAGCUCCCAAGAAGAGUUUUAUGCUUGGGAAGAGUUUUAGAAUCAUUAUCUGAUUUUGUGCAUUUUGUAAUGGGUUUUAUAGGAAUUGUAGGAAGAAAAAAAGAGAUAGUAUGAUUGCUCAUCAUGGGAGAAGCCAUGAAAGGUUCUGGGUUACGCUUGAAAGAUGAAGAAUUGGUUGAGAGGAGGGGGAGGGGGAGAGGUUAAUAAUCAUUUCCCGUUUUAUUUUCCUAUGUGUCCAUAAAAAGUGACGUGGAGCCUAAGUGGUUUAAUUUUGUUGAUGUGGCGUCCUACGUGUAGGAGAUUGUAUCACACGCACUGACAGCCU
Molecule: long non-coding RNA, 1010 nt
Filed under: Nicotiana tabacum (common tobacco)
Lineage: Eukaryota; Viridiplantae; Streptophyta; Magnoliopsida; Solanales; Solanaceae
Description: long non-coding RNA (NTAB_LNC015072)
Source: RNAcentral